Molecule: long non-coding RNA, 589 nt
Organism: Camelina sativa (false flax)
Lineage: Eukaryota; Viridiplantae; Streptophyta; Magnoliopsida; Brassicales; Brassicaceae
Source: RefSeq, a predicted model, not a curated record
UUAUGUCUUUAAGAAAUCCAGACUAACCAGUUAUUUGAGAAAGAGUCAUGGCACAAACGUACCAGAAAAGCCACAUGGAUACAAGAUGGAACAGUGCUCCCUGGAGUUGAUAACUUUGCACAUAUUGGAGGGUUUGAUACUGGUUUUCUACUUGGAUUUGUGCUUUUAAUCCGUCCCCAUUAUGGAUGGAUCUACCAAAGAAACGCUCCUGGAGCUAAACCACACAGGUAGAAGAUGUAUCAGGGCAUAUUUUGGACCAUCUCUCUUCUCCUCUUGGUCGCUGGGUUCAUUGCUGGAUUGAUCUCUCUCUUCAACAAUGUCGAUGGAAACGAACAUUGCUCAUGGUGUCAUUAUCUUUCAUGUGUUCCAACUUCUAAAUAGAGCUGUAACCGAGAACCAGCCUCUUGCACGACGACUCAAUUAUGUAACCAAUUCAGCAUGACUUGUUUAAGAAAUGGGAAAUCAGCAUCUUACAUUUUGGCAAAUCCCCCGGACUCACGGAUUAAUAGCUUAUGUGUUCAGCUUUGCCAUUGAUUUUUACUUAAUGAUUUUUAGAACAUAUACAAACUCACUUGUGUCUACACUUUGU